AGAGUUUGAUCAUGGCUCAGGACGAACGCUGGCGGCGUGCCUAACACAUGCAAGUCGAACGGGGUCCAUGAGAGCUUGCUCUCGGAAGACCUAGUGGCGAACGGGUGAGUAACACGUGAGAAACCUGCCUCGGAGUGGGGAAUAACUCGGGGAAACCCGAGCUAAUACCGCAUACCCUCAGAUGGUCGCAUGGCCGACUGAGGAAAGAAUUUCGCUCUGAGAGGGUCUCGCGGCCUAUCAGCUAGUUGGUGGGGUAACGGCCUACCAAGGCAGCGACGGGUAGCUGGUUUGAGAGAACGAUCAGCCACACUGGGACUGAGACACGGCCCAGACUCCUACGGGAGGCAGCAGUGGGGAAUCUUGCGCAAUGGGCGAAAGCCUGACGCAGCAACGCCGCGUGCGGGAUGACGGCCUUCGUGGUUGUAAACCGCUUUCAGCAGGGACGAAAAUGACGGUACCUGCAGAAGAAGCCCCGGCUAACUACGUGCCAGCAGCCGCGGUAAUACGUAGGGGGCGAGCGUUGUCCGGAUUCAUUGGGCGUAAAGAGCUCGUAGGCGGUUCAGUAAGUCAGGUGUGAAAGCUCCGAGCUCAACUCGGAGAGGCCACUUGAUACUGCUGUGACUAGAAUCCAGUAGGGGAGCGUGGAAUUCCUGGUGUAGCGGUGAAAUGCGCAGAUAUCAGGAGGAACACCAGCGGCGAAGGCGGCGCUCUGGGCUGGAAUUGACGCUGAGGAGCGAAAGUGUGGGUAGCAAACAGGAUUAGAUACCCUGGUAGUCCACGCCGUAAACGAUGGAUACUAGCUGUUUGGCAGCAAUGCUGAGUGGCUAAGCGAAAGUGAUAAGUAUCCCACCU
This 852-nucleotide ribosomal RNA is filed under the name uncultured bacterium. Its description in RNAcentral is "bacterial SSU rRNA". It matches the Rfam family "Bacterial small subunit ribosomal RNA", at positions 9 to 873 of the family's 1533-position model. The record is from RNAcentral.